Molecule: unclassified non-coding RNA, 638 nt
Filed under: Hevea brasiliensis (rubber tree)
Lineage: Eukaryota; Viridiplantae; Streptophyta; Magnoliopsida; Malpighiales; Euphorbiaceae
Source: RNAcentral
AAUAGAAUCUUGAACACUUGUUCUUCUUCUAAAUUGAAUAGCUUGUUCUGAUUUUUUUUGGUCAAAAUGUUUAUUGAAAAUUUUAAGGUGGAAAGCCCAAAUGUGAAGUAUAUUGAGAAUGAAAUUCAUUCUGUGUAUGAUUAUGAAACCACAGAGCUUGUUCAUGAAGAGAGAAAUGGAACUUAUCAAUGGAUUGUUAAGCCUAAAACUGUCAAAUAUGAAUUUAAAACUGAUACCCAUGUGCCAAAAUUGGGGGUUAUGCUUGUUGGAUGGGGAGGAAACAAUGGUUCAACAUUGACUGGAGGUGUUAUUGCGAAUCGAGAAGGAAUUUCAUGGGCAACGAAAGAAAAAGUGCAACAAGCCAAUUAUUUUGGGUCUCUUACUCAGGCAUCAACCAUUCGAGUUGGGUCUUUCAAUGGCGAAGAGAUCUAUGCACCCUUCAAAAGCCUCCUUCCCAUGGUCAACCCAGACGAUGUAGUAUUUGGAGGAUGGGACAUUAGCAACAUGAAUUUGGCAGAUGCUAUGGUCAGGGCUAAGGUUUUCGAAGUUGAUCUGCAAAAGCAGCUGAGGCCCUACAUGGAAUCCAUGGUUCCCCUUCCUGGUAUCUAUGACCCUGACUUCAUUGCGGCUAACCAAGA